Molecule: ribosomal RNA, 405 nt
Filed under: uncultured bacterium
Lineage: Bacteria
Description: bacterial SSU rRNA
Rfam family: Bacterial small subunit ribosomal RNA
Source: RNAcentral
ACACAUGCAAGUCGAGCGAGAAGGUUAAGAUGGAUUCUUCGGAUGACAGAUUAACUGGAAAGCGGCGGACGGGUGAGUAACGCGUGGGUAACCUACCCCAUACACAGGGAUAGCCAUUGGAAACGAUGAUUAAUACCUGAUAACACAUAAUGGUCGCAUGACUAUGAUGUCAAAGAUUUAUCGGUAUGGGAUGGACCCGCGUCUGAUUAGCUAGUUGGUGAGGUAAAAGCUUACCAAGGCGACGAUCAGUAGCCGACCUGAGAGGGUGAUCGGCCACACUGGAACUGAGACACGGUCCAGACUCCUACGGGAGGCAGCAGUGGGGAAUAUUGCACAAUGGGCGCAAGCCUGAUGCAGCAACGCCGCGUGAGCGAAGAAGGUCUUCGGAUCGUAAAGCUCUUUUCU